Molecule: ribosomal RNA, 537 nt
Filed under: Triticum aestivum (bread wheat)
Lineage: Eukaryota; Viridiplantae; Streptophyta; Magnoliopsida; Poales; Poaceae
Description: partial small subunit ribosomal RNA
Source: RNAcentral
AUGAGGCGCUAUGGCGCGCAACCGUGCUCUCGGCGAUCAGGGGGGGCGCAGAUGCAGGGCUACCUCGACAUCGACCAGGUAGUGCCCCCUCUGAACGUUGAAGUCACCUCCGACGAUGGCAAGACCAAGUCGAAGGCACCCAACCCGGAGUUCUCCGCGUGGUACGCGAAGGAUCAGCAGGUGUUCUCCUACUUGCUGUCCUCCCUACCGCGCGAGAUGGCCAUCCAAGUGGCAACCUGCCACACCGCCGCCGAGCUCUGGAACACGGUGCAGGGGAUGCUGACCUCGCACACCCGCGCCCGCACCAUCAACGUCAGAAUUGCGCUGGCGAAUCUUCAGAAGGGCAACUCCAACAUCACUGAAUAUGUUGGUAAGAUUAGAACUUUAUGUGAUGAACUUGUUGCUUCAGGAAAGAAAGUAGAUGAGGAGGAUGUUGUGUCUCAUAUCCUUGCUGGACUCGAUGAGGAGUUCGACCCCGUGGUUUCUGCCAUGUGCUCUCGGGUCGAGCCGGUGACUGUCCCCGAGCUGUACUCGUAG